UACGAACUGUGCGAACGUUAUUCGGAAUCACUGGGCUUACAGGGUGCGUAGGCUGCGAUGCAAGUCAGGUGUGAAAGCCCACGGCUCAACCGUGGAACUGCGCUUGAAACUGCAUUGCUCGAGUGAGCUAGAGGUACACGGAACUUCCGGUGGAGCGGUGAAAUGUGUUGAUAUCGGAAGGAACACCAGAGGCGAAAGCGGUGUACUGGAGCUUGUCUGACGCUGAGGCACGAAAGCCAGGGGAGCAAACGGG
RNAcentral lists this ribosomal RNA (253 nucleotides) under uncultured bacterium. RNAcentral describes it as "partial 16S ribosomal RNA". It matches the Rfam family "Bacterial small subunit ribosomal RNA", at positions 524 to 776 of the family's 1533-position model. The record is from RNAcentral.